CGGCCGGGUCCCCUUCUCCUGGGAGCCUGGGCGUGGUCUCCCGUGUCCGGAGCUGCGUCCUUCCUUGCGCUCCACGAAGGUGCCUAAAGCGGCGCCGCGCGUUCAUGAAGAAGUUGCUGACGGUGUUGAGCUCCAAGCCGAGCUGCUGCGAGAUGGUGACCUGCAUCUCCUUGGACGGCCGCUUGUUCUCCUUGAAGAUGGCGAUCAGCGUGCGUCGCUGCAGGCUGAGACCACCCAGACUUGGCCUCCCUCGAGCACCCAGUGGACCCUCUGGAGCGCAGAACAUCUAAGAAAGAAGACUUUGGAGGAGGAGGGGAGAGUGCAGGGACCACCUCUUCCUCUCCCAGAUGAGCAGGUCACCCUUCCUCUUGGUCAGCCCGCACAGAUCACGGAGAGGGCUGAAGGAGGCUGCCCCAUGGCCUGCAGACCAGACACUUGCAAAGGGGAGAAAAGCAAAGGCUCGGGGUGAUGGGGCAGGGCUGAAGCCGAGUCCUGCUCUUCCUGCUCCAGCAGCGAAGUGAACCCCUCCCCUCAAUGCAGUGGGUGUCAGUGGGUACAAAACACAGGCUUCCCCCACUAGGAGCUGGGCCACAAGUCAGAUGGGCUCAUUUGUGGCAUCAGCUUGAAACUCCAUCAGAAUCUCAAUUUCUCUCCUGCAUCCAGACUGGGACUGUGGUGCUGAAGAGGCUGUCCUGCCCUUGUCUCCAUCCCGGAGUUCCAGCUACUCUGUGACCCCCAGAAGUGGCCGGUGGUGCAGGUAGUACUAGUGGGUCUCUGCUCCCAGUCUCUUCUCUGUGCCAGCCGUCGUGGCCUACUGGAAUGGCACAGAGAGCUUUUCUUUUCGUUGCAGAACAGCCUGGAACAUGACAUGCUAGAUCAAUGUCCAUACACGUCCACAGAAAUAAAUGAAUGUUCCUUCUGCCAUGACUCAUGUCUCGGGGACAACAGCAAAAAGAGGCUCUGCUGCCCCCCUUCCCGGCGUUCAAUCUAAUUACAGCUCCUCACAGCCCAGAUCGAUCCAGUCGGAGCUGUUUACCGCGAGCAGCUUUGUCAUUGCUCCCAUCCCCCACAGCCGCUGACAGAGCCAGCCCUGCACCUCCUCCAGGACCCUGGGGACUGAGGCCCUGAUUCCAGGAGCAAUCACCCCCGAGAGGCUCUGAUCUGAGGACUCCAGGUUCCUGGUUUAUCAAGUGGACGCAGUGACCCAGAGCCCUGUGUCCCCACCGGGCCGCAGUCCCGAGAGUCACGAAGGAAUGAACGCCGAAGCACGGACCUGCAACCGACUCAUCCAUUCACCAUUCAGGGAGCAGCUGCUGCGUGAGGCCAGAGAGAGGCAGCUCCAGGAGCUGGCCUCCACUCACAGUCACAGGACAGCGUGAAGCGGCGGCUGCCUGGGACUCUGUUCCCCAAUGAGGAGGCCAGCUCCGCUCUGAGUCCAGGAAAGGGGGAGAGAGGACGCCUUUGGGUGGGUACUGGAGGGGAGGCGCGGGCUCCACUGGGCUCUCUGAGGCCUUCGAGUGGAUACACUGCUGGCUGGGAGGGAGGAUGGACCAGAAGACCAGGCCCAGGCUUCGGGACAGCUGGAGGGAAGGUCCCUGAAUCCCAGUGGACGCCAGCAGUGCUGGGGGCGGCACGGCAGGAGAGACACAAGCCAGGGUGGCACCAGGACGGGAGGGAUGUGGAGGCUCCUGGGGGGUCCCCAAGGUCCAGGGAGGAGAUCAAAGAGCAACUAGAGGAGAUGGAGACCAGCUGGGCAAUGCCCAAGGGAGAAGAAGACGCCCCAGGAUGCAGCAAUGGGCGAUUCAAGUGACCAUCCCAUGUCCCUCUGUGCCCGACAGUCUGUACAGUGCCCCAAACCACCAAGCCACGUGAGUCUACCCCGCUGUGUGCCCGUCCUCCCUGUGUCCUGGAGCUGGAGAUCCCCUCCCUCAGCCACCUCUGGCUUCAGGGAGCAGACAAUUCAAUAUGGAGCCCGGUCUCCGGCUGGGAUGAUGACCGGUUUCCUUGGCGACGCGUCCUGUCCCCGCCACCAGCUGCCCUGCCCCAGAUGUGGGUUGUACUGAUGCCCCCCACCCCCAUGCUGGUGUCUUGUCCCC
RNAcentral lists this long non-coding RNA (2096 nucleotides) under Homo sapiens (human). RNAcentral's name for it is "HSALNT0395602". Lineage: Eukaryota; Metazoa; Chordata; Mammalia; Primates; Hominidae. The record is from RNAcentral.